AGGUUGCGGCAAUAACAGGUCUGUGAUGCCCUCAGAUGUCCCGGGCUGCACACGUGCUACAAUGAGUGGCGCAAUGUGCUAAUGUUUUAAGGGAUAAGCGUGCGGCCAGUAGAACGUCGGCAAUUGCCCUGGCGUCUUCUACCGCACGAUUAUCAGCCUUCCCUUAACAGGGCGGGCAACCUUUUCAAAAUACCGGUUUGAUGUUAAAGUAUAGAGUCGUUUUUUUUGGAUGGUGGUUUACGAACCAAUACCAUCCGCAACUGCUCGCGAGUUUGUGGUUCUGGUGACUCAUGGUGGGGACCGAUGUUUGUAAUUGUUUGUCGCGUGUCAACUAGGAAUGCCUUGUACUGUCGAUUCACUAAGUUAUUGGGAAUACGUCCCUGCCCUUUGUACACACCGCCCGUCGCUCUUAC
RNAcentral lists this ribosomal RNA (413 nucleotides) under Globigerinoides ruber albus. Its description in RNAcentral is "partial small subunit ribosomal RNA". It matches the Rfam family "Eukaryotic small subunit ribosomal RNA", at positions 1442 to 1685 of the family's 1831-position model. The record is from RNAcentral. Lineage: Eukaryota; Foraminifera; Rotaliida; Globigerinidae.